RNAcentral lists this ribosomal RNA (487 nucleotides) under uncultured organism. Its description in RNAcentral is "bacterial SSU rRNA". It matches the Rfam family "Bacterial small subunit ribosomal RNA", at positions 30 to 507 of the family's 1533-position model. The record is from RNAcentral.
AUUGAACGCUGGCGGCAGGCUUAACACAUGCAAGUCGAGCGGGGGAGGUUGCUUCGGUAACUGACCUAGCGGCGGACGGGUGAGUAAUACUUAGGAAUCUGCCUAUUAGUGGGGGACAACGUUUCGAAAGGAACGCUAAUACCGCAUACGUCCUACGGGAGAAAGCAGGGGAUCACUUGUGACCUUGCGCUAAUAGAUGAGCCUAAGUCGGAUUAGCUAGUUGGUGGGGUAAAGGCCUACCAAGGCGACGAUCUGUAGCGGGUCUGAGAGGAUGAUCCGCCACACUGGGACUGAGACACGGCCCAGACUCCUACGGGAGGCAGCAGUGGGGAAUAUUGGACAAUGGGGGGAACCCUGAUCCAGCCAUGCCGCGUGUGUGAAGAAGGCCUUAUGGUUGUAAAGCACUUUAAGCGAGGAGGAGGAGCUCUUGGUUAAUACCCAAGAUGCUUGGACGUUACUCGCAGAAUAAGCACCGGCUAACUCUGUG